CAAAAGAUAAGCUAAAUUAAGCUAAUGGGUUCAUACCCCGUCCAUGUGAGUUAAGUUCUCACUCUUUUUA
RNAcentral lists this transfer RNA (70 nucleotides) under Linuparus trigonus. RNAcentral describes it as "tRNA-Met". Lineage: Eukaryota; Metazoa; Arthropoda; Malacostraca; Decapoda; Palinuridae. The record is from RNAcentral.